AUUGAACGCUGGCGGCAGGCCUAACACAUGCAAGUCGAGCGGAGCGGCGGACGGGUGAGUAAUGCCUAGGAAUCUGCCUGGUAGUGGGGGAUAACGUCCGGAAACGGGCGCUAAUACCGCAUACUAUCAGAUGAGCCUAGGUCGGAUUAGCUCGUUGGUGGGGUAAAGGGCUACCAAGGCGACGAUCCGUAACUGGUCUGAGAGGAUGAUCAGUCACACUGGAACUGAGACACGGUCCAGACGCCUACGGGAGGCAGCAGUGGGGAAUAUUGCACAAUGGGGGAAAGCCUUAUGCAGCCAUGCCGCGUGUAUGAAGAAGGCCUUAGGGUUGUAAAGUACUUUCAGCGGGGAGGCGUUACCCGCAGAAGAAGCACCGGCUAACUCCGUGCCAGCAGCCGCGGUAAUAC
This 407-nucleotide ribosomal RNA is filed under the name uncultured bacterium. RNAcentral's name for it is "partial 16S ribosomal RNA". It matches the Rfam family "Bacterial small subunit ribosomal RNA", at positions 30 to 526 of the family's 1533-position model. The record is from RNAcentral.